AUUGAACGCUGGCGGCAGGCCUAACACAUGCAAGUCGAGCGGAUGAAGGGAGCUUGCUCCUGGAUUCAGCGGCGGACGGGUGAGUAAUGCCUAGGAAUCUGCCUGGUAGUGGGGGAUAACGUCCGGAAACGGGCGCUAAUACCGCAUACGUCCUGAGGGGGAAAGUGGGGGUUCUUCGGACCUCACGCAUCCAGAUGAGCCUAGGUCGGAUUAGCUAGUUGGUGGGGUAAAGGCCUACCAAGGCGACGAUCCGUAACUGGUCUGAGAGGAUGAUCAGUCACACUGGAACUGAGACACGGUCCAGACUCCUACGGGAGGCAGCAGUGGGGAAUAUUGGACAAUGGGCGAAAGCCUGAUCCAGCCAUGCCGCGUGUGUGAAGAAGGUCUUCGGAUUGUAAAGCACUUUAAGUUGGGAGGAAGGGCAGUAAGUUAAUACCUUGCUGUUUUGACGUUACCAACAGAAUAAGCACCGGCUAACUUCGUG
RNAcentral lists this ribosomal RNA (484 nucleotides) under uncultured bacterium. Its description in RNAcentral is "partial 16S ribosomal RNA". It matches the Rfam family "Bacterial small subunit ribosomal RNA", at positions 30 to 507 of the family's 1533-position model. The record is from RNAcentral.